CUACAGAGGGUGCGAGCGUUAAUCGGAAUUACUGGGCGUAAAGCGCGCGUAGGCGGCUUGGUCAGUCGGAUGUGAAAGCCCCGGGCUCAACCUGGGAAUGGCAUUCGAUACUGCCAGGCUAGAGUAUGGGAGAGGGAAGUGGAAUUUCCGGUGUAGCGGUGAAAUGCGUAGAUAUCAGAAGGAACACCAGUGGCGAAGGCGACUUCCUGGCCCAAUACUGACGCUAAGGUGCGAAAGCGUGGGGAGCGAACAGGAUUAGAUACCCCAGUAGUCC
RNAcentral lists this ribosomal RNA (274 nucleotides) under uncultured bacterium. RNAcentral describes it as "partial 16S ribosomal RNA". It matches the Rfam family "Bacterial small subunit ribosomal RNA", at positions 523 to 796 of the family's 1533-position model. The record is from RNAcentral.